AGAGUUUGAUCCUGGCUCAGAACGAACGCUGGCGGCAUGCCUAACACAUGCAAGUCGGACGCUCACGAGGGUUUCGGCCCUUGUGGGAGUGGCGGACGGGUGAGUAGCGCGUGGGAACCUGCCUUGGAGUGGGGGAUAACCGAGGGAAACUUCGGCUAAUACCGCAUACGCCCCGACGCAAGUCGGGGGAAAGAUUGAUC
RNAcentral lists this ribosomal RNA (200 nucleotides) under uncultured bacterium. RNAcentral describes it as "partial 16S ribosomal RNA". It matches the Rfam family "Bacterial small subunit ribosomal RNA", at positions 8 to 216 of the family's 1533-position model. The record is from RNAcentral.